GACGAACGCUGGCGGCGUGACUAAUACAUGCAAGUAGGACGCAGUUGCGAACGGGUGAGUAACGCGUAGGUAACUACCUAUUAGAGGGGGAUAACAAUUGGAAACGAUAGCUAAUACCGCAUACUAGUAGAUGGACCUGCGUUGUAUUAGCUAGUAGGUAGGGUAAUGGCCUACCUAGGCAACGAUCAAGAGCCGACCUGAGCGGGUGAUCGGCCCCACUGGGACUGAGACACGGCCCAGACUCCUCCGGGAAGCAGCAGGAGGGAAUGUUCGGCAAUGGGGGGAACCCUGACCGAGCAACGCCGCGUGAGUGUAGAAGGUUUUCGGAUCGUAAAGCUCUGUUGUUAAGGAAGCGGUACUUAACCAGAAAGGGACGGCUAACUACGUGCCAGCAGCCGCGGUAAUUC
RNAcentral lists this ribosomal RNA (407 nucleotides) under uncultured bacterium. Its description in RNAcentral is "partial 16S ribosomal RNA". It matches the Rfam family "Bacterial small subunit ribosomal RNA", at positions 28 to 526 of the family's 1533-position model. The record is from RNAcentral.